This 1071-nucleotide long non-coding RNA is filed under the name Apteryx owenii (little spotted kiwi). Its description in RNAcentral is "lncRNA (ENSAOWG00000009807.1)". The record is from RNAcentral. Lineage: Eukaryota; Metazoa; Chordata; Aves; Apterygiformes; Apterygidae.
GCGGCAAACCGGCACCGUGCCACGUGCUCCAUAGCCCCGCGGAGUGCCAGCCCUUGGCACCGUGGGGGUGGCACGGCGCGGGGGUCCCCGACCCUGCCCAGCCCCGCCGCGGCCCUGGCCCCCUCCCCAGCAUGUUUAGAAGCCGGGCGCCACGCGGGCGCCGCGCUGUGGAGCCUCUUCUCCCUCUGCCUUGCAGGACGAGAGCCCGUCAGCAUGCUCGGGAUCGUCAUGGGCGUCGGGCUGGCCCUGCUGGUCCUCAUCCUUUUUGCCUACGCUUUUGUCCGGUGCUACCAGAGCGGACAGUGCUGGCACCGGCCCAACUUCGUCUUCAACCUGUACCACAUCCGCGGGCUGAGGGCGGUGGAAGUGGAGCUGGCGCCGCCGUUCACGGUCAGCGGCUCCCUGAGCGAGGCGAGGAGCGGCUACGUGCGCUUCCACGAGCAGGGGCUGUGACGGGCGAGCCGGGCGCAGGCUUGGGGCCCCCAGCCGCAGCGCUCUCCGUUCCCAGCCGGAAGAGGAGCAACUUCCCUGUGCCGCCGAGGGGGUCUCCCUCCCUGGGCCUCUGGCCUCUCCGUGGCAUGAGAGCUGGCAGCACCACAAACUUGCGCUGUUUCGGGGAGCUGCGGGGUCCCCGGCGGAGGCUGACACRGGGAAUUCCCGUGGGAGCACCGUGCCCCGGUGCCCGGAGGGGUGCAGGGGACUUAGGCAUUGCUCUGCCCUUCCCGGGCUGGGCAGCGCAGCGGCGCUUGCUCCGUGCCCACGGUGCCGCUGCAGGCUGCCCACCGCGGAGGGGACGCCGGGGCYGUCCUGCUGCCCGGGACCCUCGCGUGGACACCAGCGCUCGGCCUCGGCCAAGAGCGGCGCCYGGCUCCGGACCCUGCCUGCGCUCUCCAUCCUGGCUUUUCUUGGGGAUGUUUUCCUGUGCUGGCUCCCUGCUCACCGCUGGUGGCCAUGGAAAGAGCAACCAAAACCAGCCACGGGGGAAUUCCUCUAGUCUCAGUUCUUUAAAAAACAACCCCCGAAUACGCUGGAUUUGUACUGAAAGCAAACAGUGCAGUUUUUGUUUUGCCG